This 461-nucleotide ribosomal RNA is filed under the name Salmonella enterica. RNAcentral's name for it is "bacterial SSU rRNA". It matches the Rfam family "Bacterial small subunit ribosomal RNA", at positions 1 to 458 of the family's 1533-position model. The record is from RNAcentral. Lineage: Bacteria; Pseudomonadati; Pseudomonadota; Gammaproteobacteria; Enterobacterales; Enterobacteriaceae.
AAAUUGAAGAGUUUGAUCAUGGCUCAGAUUGAACGCUGGCGGCAGGCCUAACACAUGCAAGUCGAACGGUAACAGGAAGUAGCUUGCUGCUUCGCUGACGAGUGGCGGACGGGUGAGUAAUGUCUGGGAAACUGCCUGAUGGAGGGGGAUAACUACUGGAAACGGUGGCUAAUACCGCAUAACGUCGCAAGACCAAAGAGGGGGACCUUCGGGCCUCUUGCCAUCAGAUGUGCCCAGAUGGGAUUAGCUUGUUGGUGAGGUAACGGCUCACCAAGGCGACGAUCCCUAGCUGGUCUGAGAGGAUGACCAGCCACACUGGAACUGAGACACGGUCCAGACUCCUACGGGAGGCAGCAGUGGGGAAUAUUGCACAAUGGGCGCAAGCCUGAUGCAGCCAUGCCGCGUGUAUGAAGAAGGCCUUCGGGUUGUAAAGUACUUUCAGCGGGGAGGAAGGUGUUGUG